GAACGAUGAAGCCCUUCGGGGUGGAUUAGUGGCGAACGGGUGAGUAACACGUGGGCAAUCUGCCCUGCACUCUGGGACAAGCCCUGGAAACGGGGUCUAAUACCGGAUACGAGCCUCCCGGGCAUCUGGGAGGUUGGAAAGCUCCGGCGGUGCAGGAUGAGCCCGCGGCCUAUCAGCUUGUUGGUGAGGUAACGGCUCACCAAGGCGACGACGGGUAGCCGGCCUGAGAGGGCGACCGGCCACACUGGGACUGAGACACGGCCCAGACUCCUACGGGAGGCAGCAGUGGGGAAUAUUGCACAAUGGGCGAAAGCCUGAUGCAGCGACGCCGCGUGAGGGAUGACGGCCUUCGGGUUGUAAACCUCUUUCAGCAGGGAAGAAGCGAAAGUGACGGUACCUGCAGAAGAAGCGCCGGCUAACUACGUGCCAGCAGCCGCGGUAAUACGUAGGGCGCAAGCGUUGUCCGGAAUUAUUGGGCGUAAAGAGCUCGUAGGCGGCUUGUCGCGUCGAUUGUGAAAGCCCGGGGCUUAACUCCGGGUCUGCAGUCGAUACGGGCAGGCUAGAGUGUGGUAGGGGAGAUCGGAAUUCCUGGUGUAGCGGUGAAAUGCGCAGAUAUCAGGAGGAACACCGGUGGCGAAGGCGGAUCUCUGGGCCAUUACUGACGCUGAGGAGCGAAAGCGUGGGGAGCGAACAGGAUUAGAUACCCUGGUAGUCCACGCCGUAAACGGUGGGCACUAGGUGUUGGCGACAUUCCACGUCGUCGGUGCCGCAGCUAACGCAUUAAGUGCCCCGCCUGGGGAGUACGGCCGCA
RNAcentral lists this ribosomal RNA (811 nucleotides) under Streptomyces lannensis. RNAcentral describes it as "bacterial SSU rRNA". It matches the Rfam family "Bacterial small subunit ribosomal RNA", at positions 64 to 890 of the family's 1533-position model. The record is from RNAcentral. Lineage: Bacteria; Bacillati; Actinomycetota; Actinomycetes; Kitasatosporales; Streptomycetaceae.